CCGGCGCGGAGAACCAACCAGCCUUUUGACGCUGUCGCCCGCCGAUAGAGCACUAGACGCGCUAGCCCCCGGAUCUCCUCCGCGGCCUCGCCGCACGCGUGGGGAUGGAUUUCGACGGCGCCAUUGGCGAUCAGGGUGAGUUGUGGGAAUGGCAAAGUCAGGAGUAUUGUAUGCAGAAAGAUUCGUUAGCUGCUCCAUGUAGCAGUUUGUGGGCCGAAGCAAGCAACAAUGUGGGUGGUGAUUGGAGCAUAUUUGAGGAGCAAACACCAAUUAAACACUGUACAGACUUCGAAUUUCAGUUCUGUGAUGUAGGAGGUGAAGUCUUGUUCUCAUGGUAAUGAAAUCUACAGACAUGAGCUUAAAUCUAGAUUCUAAACUAUUCCAGUUCACACCAAGCUAUCUACUUAAAUUGGUUUUUCACUGCCAAUAUCCUGUACAGAGACCAGUAGCACCUUCUUUUAGAUGCUAAUAUAUGUUAUCUAUUUCUCUCUGCUUCUUGAAAUUGCAUUAAUGACAUGGUAACUUGUGAUAUGUAAAUCCAAAACAUAUAUAAAGCAGAAUGACUAGUAUAAUAACAAAAUCAGUCGAUUAUUGCAAUUAGAACAAGUACGUUUCGAGGCUACUAUUUCCCUAUUGUGUAUGUCUGAUCUGAGCUAUAAAAUGCAACAGGUAGAUGAUUUGACCUAAAUAUCACAAUGGAUUAAACUGGAUAUUUCCUAACUCUAUCCCAUCUGACCUUUUUGGCAAACACUUAAUAAGGUGCUAAUACAUAUCAGUUGCAUUUCCGGACUAGUAAAAAUGCAAUCUAGAUAUCAUCGUCAAGGAGUUUGAAGAAAGGAAGGAAACUUUACAGGCAAAACGCACACGCAUGCUGCAGUUCUGUCCAGAAAAUCUUGAGAUGACAUGUUCAGUGACUGAAGAUGGGCUCUUGGAAAGUCUUCAGGAGAUGAUUUUUCAGGUACUGACUGUUUACUGAACUCUGACGGGACUGAUGAACUGCCAGAAGAAUGGCUAGUUAGUUGAUCACAAGAUAUCGAGCCCGGUUUUCCGGCAGAAGAAAUUAGGAAUAACCCUGCUGCUGCAACGGAAGAAACUGCCGAUGUCUUGGCUUGAGCUCUUCGCCUGUCGUAGUCCACGACAAUCCUGCAUGCUCUAGACCUACUUCUCUGAAAGGUGCAGCUGGCAAAAUUUAUUAUCGGAGCAAAGAAGGCGAGACCAUCCGUGUCCCUCCCUUUUGUGCUGAUCAAACCAUACAGCAUCCAUGGCGACAUCACCCUGAACGACAUCAACGAGAAGAUCCACGCCCCUUCGCCGCAUAAGAUCAGGCACAGGAGCGACGAGGAGCCCGACCCGCUCCAGGCCUCAGCAGCGAUCUCAGGGAAACCUGUGGCCCACAAGACGAAGAUCCACACGGAGGGGGGGAAGGGGGAAGGGGAGCAUCACGAUCACCAGAACCAAAGGCUAGGCUGAUGACCAUUUGUGUGACGCUGGCGAAGUGGCUAACAGUUGAUUCGCCUUUGCAUUUUUGGCGCUCUGGGCUCGUUCCCAAUUGGUUUUGUGGCCCAGGUGAUGCAUGGCCUUAGCAGCGUGCUUGUAGCGUUUUCUGUUCUUGCUGUUUACUAGUAUCUUACGCACGCGCCUUAGCGCACGUCAUAGGCAGCGCUGAAUCGUGUCAAUGAGUUAAUAUAAAAAUUUAAUAAAAUAAUCCAAAGAAAA
This is an RNA transcript of Zea mays, 1716 nucleotides long. It is a transcript of the gene named protein-like pseudogene, with no coding region annotated. The transcript has 8 exons. NCBI's taxonomy places the organism in Eukaryota, Viridiplantae, Streptophyta, Magnoliopsida, Poales, Poaceae. The record is from RefSeq and is marked validated.